UGUCUAUUCGGUUCAACUUAAGUCUAUGGAAUCAAAGAUAAUUUACGAAACCAAUUGGAUCAGUGAUAUUCAUCCUUUCACCAGUUUCUAUACAACAGGAACAUCCAUUGAUGGUGGAUCUGAUCCAGCUGAAAUGCUGCACGGUACAUCGGAUGCUUGUCUAGUUUGACGGACUAAUGUACUGAAAUAGUUCAGCUGGUUAAUUUAUCAGCUGAGUGUUACUUGUUGUCACAAUGGAUUUUGUCAAUAAUUAAGCUCUGUAUUGUCAAGCUUUUUCCGAUCAUGCCAAGAUGACAGUUGGAUGUAGUGGUGCAAAAAUUCAAGAGAAGACGAUACCACAGGUGGUGCUGAUGAGUGAUGAGCCUAGGCUGAGAUGGAAGUUAACUUGAGGAAUAGUGUUCGGAACAAUGUCCCGCAAAAAAAAAGUUACUCCCUCCGAUUCAUGUUACCUGUCACUAGUAUGGAUGUAUCUAAUACUAAAAUGUGUCUAGAUACAUCUAUAUUAGAGACAAUUAAUAUGAAUCGGAGGGAGUGGGAUUGUUGAUGUUUAAAGAAAAGUUUCAUAGGCGAUAUGGUAUAUUUUUUGGUUUAGAUUUUAGUAUGUGAUAUGUUUCUGAAACCUUGAUCAUUUUCCUUUUGGUGUCAUGAUUGCAGAGAACUCUCUGCAUGUCCAGGUUUGUCAAAAGUGU
Long non-coding RNA from Lolium rigidum, 689 nucleotides. RefSeq lists it as uncharacterized. NCBI's taxonomy places the organism in Eukaryota, Viridiplantae, Streptophyta, Magnoliopsida, Poales, Poaceae. The transcript has 3 exons. The record is from RefSeq and is a predicted model, not a curated record.